This 72-nucleotide transfer RNA is filed under the name Stenocercus scapularis. Its description in RNAcentral is "tRNA-Ile". It matches the Rfam family "tRNA". From Rfam's summary of the family: Transfer RNA (tRNA) molecules are approximately 80 nucleotides in length. Their secondary structure includes four short double-helical elements and three loops (D, anti-codon, and T loops). The record is from RNAcentral. Lineage: Eukaryota; Metazoa; Chordata; Lepidosauria; Squamata; Tropiduridae.
GGAAAUAUGCCUGAAUUAUAAAGGACUACUUUGAUAGAGUAAACAAAAGGGGUUAAAGCCCCCUUAUUUCCU